This 301-nucleotide ribosomal RNA is filed under the name uncultured bacterium. RNAcentral describes it as "partial 16S ribosomal RNA". It matches the Rfam family "Bacterial small subunit ribosomal RNA", at positions 509 to 807 of the family's 1533-position model. The record is from RNAcentral.
CAGCAGCCACGGUAAUACGGAGGGUGCAAGCGUUAAUCGGAAUUACUGGGCGUAAAGCGCACGCAGGCGGUCUGACAAGUCAGAUGUGAAAUCCCCGGGCUUAACCUGGGAGCUGCAUUUGAAACUGUCAGGCUGGAGUCUUGUAGAGGGGGGUGGAAUUCCAGGUGUAGCGGUGAAAUGCGUAGAGAUCUGGAGGAAUACCGGUGGCGAAGGCGGCCCCCUGGACAAAGACUGACGCUCAGGUGCGAAAGCGUGGGGAGCAAACAGGAUUAGUUACCCCUGUAGUCCCUGUCUCUUAUAC